This 253-nucleotide ribosomal RNA is filed under the name uncultured bacterium. Its description in RNAcentral is "partial 16S ribosomal RNA". It matches the Rfam family "Bacterial small subunit ribosomal RNA", at positions 524 to 776 of the family's 1533-position model. The record is from RNAcentral.
UACGAAGGGUGCAAGCGUUACUCGGAAUUACUGGGCGUAAAGCGUGCGUAGGUGGUUUGUUAAGUCUGAUGUGAAAGCCCUGGGCUCAACCUGGGAAUUGCAUUGGAUACUGGCAGGCUAGAGUGCGGUAGAGGAUGGCGGAAUUCCCGGUGUAGCAGUGAAAUGCGUAGAGAUCGGGAGGAACAUCUGUGGCGAAGGCGGCCAUCUGGGCCGGGCCUGACGCUGAGGAGCGAAAGCGUGGGGAGCGAACGGG